This 1689-nucleotide ribosomal RNA is filed under the name Plesiobatis daviesi. RNAcentral's name for it is "16S ribosomal RNA". It matches the Rfam family "Bacterial large subunit ribosomal RNA". The record is from RNAcentral. Lineage: Eukaryota; Metazoa; Chordata; Chondrichthyes; Myliobatiformes; Plesiobatidae.
ACCUCAAAGCUAGCCAAAAUAAAUUUAUUAAGUUCCCCAAUAUUAACUAACACACACAACCUCUGUCCUCUAAUUAAAACAUUUUUCCCUUCCUAGUAUGGGCGAUAGAACAGAAACCUUUGAGCCAUAGAAACAGUACCGCAAGGGAAAGCUGAAAAAGAAAUGAAAAAACCAUUAAAGUAAAAAGAAGCAGAGACCCGCCCUCGUACCUUUGCAUCAUGAUUUAGCAAGAACAACUAGGCUAAAAAGCUUUUCCUAGCCUAGCCUCCCGAAACUAAACGAGCUACUUCGGAGCAGCUUACCCAGAGCCAACCCACCUCUGUAGCAAAAGAGAGGGAAGACUCCCAAGUAGCGGUGAUAAGCCUACCGAGUUUAGUGAUAGCUGGUCAUCCAAAAAAAGAACUUAAAUUCUGCAUUAAUUUUUCAACCAGCAACUAAAAACCUUUUACUAAGCUCACUUGUAAAAAUUAAGAGUUAUUCAAAAAAGGUACAGCCUUUUUGAAUCAAGAAACAACUUUAUUAGGAGGGUAAUGAUUACAUUCUUAAAGGGUUUCUCCUCAGUGGGCCUAAAAGCAGCCACCUGUUAAGCAAGCGUCAUAGCUCAAGCCUCACCUGCCCCAACAAAUUCCCAUACUCAUUCUCAACCCCCUACCUCACUAUUGGAUUAUUUUAUUAACCUAAUUAUAAAAGAAAUUAUGCUAAAAUGAGUAAUGAGGGAAUAACCCCCUCCCCGACACCAGUGUAUGUCAGAAAGAAUUAAAUCACUGACAAUUAACCGAUGCCAUAGUUGAGGCUCUCAUGACAUAAACACUAAACACAAGAAAACCCCAUACAAAACCUCGUUAACCCUACACAGGAGUGUCCCCGGGAAAGAUUAAAAGAAAAUAAAGGAACUCGGCAAACACAAACUCCGCCUGUUUACCAAAAACAUCGCCUCUUGCCCCACUCAUGUAUAAGAGGUCCCGCCUGCCCUGUGAUUUUUUAACGGCCGCGGUAUUCUGACCGUGCGAAGGUAGCGUAAUCACUUGUCUUUUAAUUGAAGACCCGUAUGAAAGGCAUCACGAGAGUUUAUCUGUCUCUAUUUUCCAAUCAAUGAAAUUGAACCUCUCGUGCAGAAGCGAGAAUAAAAACAUAAGACGAGAAGACCCUAUGGAGCUUCAAACACUUAAGUUACUUUUAAAACAUAAAAUUCCUACCUUCGGGUAUAAACUAAAAACUAAUUUCUUAACUUAACCUGUUUUUGGUUGGGGCGACCAGGGGGAAAAACAAAACCCCCUUAUCGAAUGUGUUAAACACAAAAAUUAGGACUACAGUCCUAAUCAAUAGAAAAUCUAACGAACAAUGACCCAGGGCCCGAUCCCUGAUCAAUGAACCAAGUUACCCUAGGGAUAACAGCGCAAUCCUUUCUUAGAGCCCCCAUCGCCGAAAGGGUUUACGACCUCGAUGUUGGAUCAGGACAUCCUAAUGGUGUAGCCGCUAUUAAGGGCUCGUUUGUUCAACGAUUAACAGUCCUACGUGAUCUGAGUUCAGACCGGAGUAAUCCAGGUCAGUUUCUAUCUAUGAUGGUAUUUUCCCCAGUACGAAAGGACCGGGAAAAUGAAGCCUAUGCCCAAAGUACGCUUCCCCCCAACCUGCUGAAACCAACUCAAGCAGAUAAAGGCAGCCACCUUUAAACCAAAGAUAACGGUU